RNAcentral lists this microRNA (21 nucleotides) under Mus musculus (house mouse). Its description in RNAcentral is "mmu-miR-6416-3p". Lineage: Eukaryota; Metazoa; Chordata; Mammalia; Rodentia; Muridae. The record is from miRBase by way of RNAcentral.
GCAAAGAGCAGCAAAAGGAAG